This 200-nucleotide unclassified non-coding RNA is filed under the name Epichloe sp. Its description in RNAcentral is "partial internal transcribed spacer 2". The record is from RNAcentral. Lineage: Eukaryota; Fungi; Ascomycota; Sordariomycetes; Hypocreales; Clavicipitaceae.
UUAAGUUCAGCGGGUAUUCCUACCUGAUUCGAGGUCAACUCUUGAGAGAAGUUGGGCGUUUUACGGCCGUGGCCGCGCCGCGCUCCCGCUUGCGAGGUGGUAUGCUACUGCGCAAAGGAAGGCCGCGACGAGGCCGCCGAUUCAUUUCGGGGGCGGCGGUGCCGGUCCCCAACAGCAACACCCCAGGGGGUCUUGAGGGU